GAUCAUUACACAAUAACUWGGCGGGCUGGACACCCCCCGCUGGGCACUGCUUCACGGCGUGCGCGGCGGGGCCGGCCCUGCUGAAUUAUUCACCCGUGUCUUUUGCGUACUUCUUGUUUCCUGGGUGGGCUCGCCCGCCCUCAGGACCAACCACAAACCUUUUGCAAUAGCAAUCAGCGUCAGUAACAACGUAAUUAAUUACAACUUUCAACAACGGAUCUCUUGGUUCUGGCAUCGAUGAAGAACGCAGCGAAAUGCGAUACGUAGUGUGAAUUGCAGAAUUCAGUGAAUCAUCGAAUCUUUGAACGCACAUUGCGCCCUUUGGUAUUCCAAAGGGCAUGCCUGUUCGAGCGUCAUUUGUACCCUCAAGCUUUGCUUGGUGUUGGGCGUCUUUUGUCUCCAGUUCGCUGGAGACUCGCCUUAAAGUCAUUGGCAGCCGGCCUACUGGUUUCGGAGCGCAGCACAAGUCGCGCUCUUUGCCAGCCAAGGUCAGCGUCCAGCAAGCCUUUUUUUCAACCUUUGACCUCGGAUCAGGUAGGGAUACCCGCUGAACUUAAGCAUAUCAAUAA
This 569-nucleotide unclassified non-coding RNA is filed under the name Alternaria infectoria. RNAcentral's name for it is "sequence contains 18S rRNA gene, ITS1, 5.8S rRNA gene, ITS2, 28S rRNA gene". The record is from RNAcentral. Lineage: Eukaryota; Fungi; Ascomycota; Dothideomycetes; Pleosporales; Pleosporaceae.